Molecule: long non-coding RNA, 199 nt
Organism: Mauremys mutica (yellowpond turtle)
Lineage: Eukaryota; Metazoa; Chordata; Testudines; Geoemydidae
Exons: 3
Source: RefSeq, a predicted model, not a curated record
GAGAGCCCUCUACAGGGACGUCAUGCAGGAGAACUACGAGACGGUGACCUCGCUGGGAUUCCCCUUUCCCAAACCUGACCUAAUCACCCAGCUGGAACGAGGGGAAGAGCCGUGGGUGCCCGAUCUCCAGGCCUGCGAGGAAAGAGAGAUCUCAAGAGGUGCCCACACAGGUAACGAGCCAGUGAGUGAGAAAAAGGAG